GAUGAAGAACGUAGCGAAAUGCGAUAAGUAGUGUGAAUUGCAGAAUUCAGUGAAUCAUCGAAUCUUUGAACGCACAUUGCGCCCCUUGGUAUUCCAUGGGGCAUGCCUGUUCGAGCGUCAUUUGUACCUUCAAGCUUUGCUUGGUGUUGGGUGUUUGUCCAUUCUCUUGCAGAGGGACUCGCCUUAAAGUAAUUGGCAGCCAGUGUUUUGGUUUUGAAGCGCAGCACAAGUCGCGAUUCAACGCUAUACGCCAGCUUCCACAAGCCUUUUUCACUUUUGACCUCGGAUCAGGUAGGGAUACCCGCUGAACUUAAGCAUAUCAAUGAGCGGAGGA
This 334-nucleotide unclassified non-coding RNA is filed under the name soil metagenome. RNAcentral's name for it is "partial contains 5.8S ribosomal RNA, internal transcribed spacer 2, and large subunit ribosomal RNA". The stretch from base 1 to 120 matches the Rfam family "5.8S ribosomal RNA", at positions 35 to 154 of the family's 154-position model. The record is from RNAcentral.